AGUGGCUGGCCUGACCUUGAUCAUCUGCCUGUGGGGCUCCCUGGGGCACAGUUGGGAAUUUGUCCAUGGCACUGGGGCCUGGGCAUGGGAGGCAAGGCCGGGCAGUGGGAGGUGCCCUGAAUUGGUGAUCCGGCCACUUAAGCACUGAACCUCAAUACAGGAGACGUCACAGGAUUGCUGUAAGGAUCUAAAGAGCUGCCUCAGAAGAGAAGAAGGAACGGACACAAAUGAAAAUCAGAACACUAAAGAGAUUCAAAGAUUUGUCAUUUCCCUUCUGCUCAUGAAGGCCCUUGAUAGCUACACACGCAGUCAAGGCAACAAGCAAGCCUUCCACAUCCACGGUGGAUGGAGGCGCUCUUGAAAGGGGAGCCUUAGGAUGAAGGGAAAGGAAAAUGACCAGAAGGAAAAGACGGUGGGAGCGUAAAGAAGACUGACCUUGCACGGGGAAGGUGUGGACUUCUAGCCCAGCUAGAACUGGACGUCUGCUUGCCCGACCCCGUGUCCUUGAGAAGGUCAGCUUCGAAGCCUCAGUCUCCCCACCUAUGAAACGAGGAUGCGGGUCUCCAACUCACCCACAGUGCGGCCCCCU
This 589-nucleotide long non-coding RNA is filed under the name Sus scrofa (pig). RNAcentral's name for it is "lncRNA (ENSSSCG00035063246.1)". The record is from RNAcentral. Lineage: Eukaryota; Metazoa; Chordata; Mammalia; Artiodactyla; Suidae.